This 483-nucleotide ribosomal RNA is filed under the name uncultured bacterium. RNAcentral's name for it is "partial 16S ribosomal RNA". It matches the Rfam family "Bacterial small subunit ribosomal RNA", at positions 28 to 507 of the family's 1533-position model. The record is from RNAcentral.
GACGAACGCUGGCGGCGUGCUUAACACAUGCCAGUCGAACGCUGAAGCUCAGCUUUUGUUGGGUGGAUGAGUGGCGAACGGGUGAGUAACACGUGAGUAACCUGCCUCCUUCUUUGGGAUAACGCCCGGAAACGGGUGCUAAUACUGGAUAUUCACUGGUCUUCGCACGGGGGUUGGUGGAAAGGGUUUUUCUGGUGGGGGAUGGGCUCGCGGCCUAUCAGCUUGUUGGUGGGGUGAUGGCCUACCAAGGCUUUGACGGGUAGCCGGCCUGAGAGGGUGACCGGUCACAUUGGGACUGAGAUACGGCCCAGACUUCUACGGGAGGCAGCAGUGGGGAAUAUUGCACAAUGGGCGCAAGCCUGAUGCAGCGACGCCGCGUGAGGGAUGGAGGCCUUCGGGUUGUGAACCUCUUUCGCUCAUGGUCAAGCCGCAACAAUGGUUGUGGUGAGGGUAGUGGGUAAAGAAGCGCCGGCUAACUACGUG